GCGCAGCAGGCGAGAAACCUCCGCAAUACACGAAAGUGUGACGGGCCAUCCCGAGUGCCGUCCGCUGAGGACGGCUUUUCCCCAGUGUACAUAGCUGGGGGAAUAAGGAGAGGGCAAGCCUGGUGUCAGCCGCCGCGGUAAUACCAGCUCUCCGAGUGGUGGGGACGCUUAUUGGGCCUAAAGCAUCCGUAGCCGGCUGGGCAAGUCCUCCGUUAAAUCCAACGAUUCAAUCGUUGGGCUGCGGGGGACACUGUCCAGCUUGGGGGCGGGAGAGGCCGACGGUAUUCCCCGGGGUAGGGUGAAAUCCUAUAAUCCCGGGAGGACCACCAAUGGCGAAGGCUGUCGGCUAGAACGCGCCCGACGGUGAGGGAUGAAAGCUGGGGGAGCGAACCGGAUUAGAUA
This 402-nucleotide ribosomal RNA is filed under the name uncultured microorganism. Its description in RNAcentral is "bacterial SSU rRNA". It matches the Rfam family "Archaeal small subunit ribosomal RNA", at positions 330 to 735 of the family's 1478-position model. The record is from RNAcentral.